Molecule: ribosomal RNA, 270 nt
Filed under: Gephyromantis ceratophrys
Lineage: Eukaryota; Metazoa; Chordata; Amphibia; Anura; Mantellidae
Description: partial 16S ribosomal RNA
Rfam family: Bacterial large subunit ribosomal RNA
Source: RNAcentral
ACCCAUAAGACGAGAAGACCCCAUGGAGCUUUAAACUAAGCUACAAUCCAACUCCCGUAUAUCCGCUCAUCAAAUAGGAUUCUGUAUGCCCAGUUUUAGGUUGGGGUGACCACGGAGUAUAAACUAACCUCCAUGAUAAACGAAACUUUUCUUAUCUAAGAAUUACAAUUCCAAGAAUUAGUAUACUAAUAUUAAAUGAUCCGAUAAUCGAUCAACGGACCAAGUUACCCUGGGGAUAACAGCGCAAUCCAUUUCAAGAGCCCUUAUCGA